AACGAACGCUGGCGGCGUGCUUAACACAUGCAAGUCGAGCGAGAAAGGGGGGGCAACCCCCUGAGUAGAGCGGCGCACGGGUGAGUAACGCGUGGGUAACCUACCCCCAGGCGGGGGAUAACCACUCGAAAGGGUGGCUAAUACCGCAUGAGACCGCGGGAUCUUCGGAUCCUGAGGCUAAAGAUUGCACCGGCUUGCCGGUGCCGUCACCAGGGGAUGGGCCCGCGUCCGAUUAGCUAGUUGGCGAGGUAAUGGCUCACCAAGGCUACGAUCGGUAGCUGGUCUGAGAGGAUGAUCAGCCACACUGGAACUGAAACACGGUCCAGACUCCUACGGGAGGCAGCAGUGAGGAAUAUUGCGCAAUGGGGGAAACCCUGACGCAGCAACGCCGCGUGGGUGAAGAAGGCCU
RNAcentral lists this ribosomal RNA (409 nucleotides) under uncultured delta proteobacterium. Its description in RNAcentral is "bacterial SSU rRNA". It matches the Rfam family "Bacterial small subunit ribosomal RNA", at positions 29 to 417 of the family's 1533-position model. The record is from RNAcentral. Lineage: Bacteria; Deltaproteobacteria.